RNAcentral lists this long non-coding RNA (3051 nucleotides) under Mus musculus (house mouse). RNAcentral describes it as "long non-coding RNA chr8:125027370-125030421". Lineage: Eukaryota; Metazoa; Chordata; Mammalia; Rodentia; Muridae. The record is from RNAcentral.
GCAGCCUCCAGAGUUCUCUCUUACUGGAAGCAGAAUCUGUAAAUAAUUCCUCUUGGAUUUCCUCCAAGGCAGACACAGGGAAGGCAUUGUUCCGCGUAUAGCAGUGGGCUGAAAAGUUUCACCUUGGGGAUUAUACACUGAAAAUAACGGAUGUCCUUUUCAUCAAGUUGAAACAUAACUUGUUUAAACACCCUUUUACCUACAUGAGACCCAGAGUGCUGCUCAGUGUCUGGGGCCAGGUGUCCUUGAACUCUUUGUGAGAUAGCACAAACCUUAAGUCAUUAAUUAAUUAAUCUUUUGCUUGUUUUUGUUUUUUCUUUUUGGAAAGUGGUUCUCAUGUAGCCCAGGCUGGCCUCAAACUCAAGAUACAGCUGGGUCUGGCUUUGAACCUCUGAUUCUCUUGCCUCUGUCUCCGAAGAGAUAAGAACACAGGCCUGUGUCCAGUGCCCAGUUAUGACAGGUUUUGUUAUUUGUUUUUCUUUUCUUGAUUGAGGCAGUUUUGUAAUCCAGGUUGGCCUGAACUUAUAUAUGGUCAAGGCUGGAUAAGAAUUUGGGGCAGCCUUGGCCUCCAGAAUGUUGGAAUGACACUGGUGAGCCACCGCGCAUGCCUAGGAGAUCUCUUUCUGAUUUUUCCUGUUUAACAAAAGAGCUGGUGUUUGAAAGAAGACACAACAGUGGAAGCCUAGGAUGCAAGGCAGAGAACGCUGUGGGGGACUCAGCGGGCAUAGGAUCCAUGGUGUGAGAUUGACCUGUGUAACCAUUUGUACGUGUUGUUGUGACAUUGGUGUGCUCAUGGUGUUGUGUAGCUGUAACCCUGACCGCCUUCCACUGAGAAGCUGUGCCUGUGUGGUUAGUGCCUUUCCGUCAUAGUCUUAUUUAUUGUAUGUCUUUCCUAAAACCCAAUUCUUGUUUUGGUUUGGUUUGGUUUGAAUUUGAGACAGGGUUUCUCUGUAUAGCCCUAGCUGUCCUGGAGCUCACUCUGUAGACCAGGCUGGCCUCAAACUCAGAAAUCCACCUGCCUCUGCCUCCCAAGUGCUGGAAUUAAAGGCGUGCACCACCACUGCCCAGCUCAAAACCCAAUUCUUAAUUAUUCUAUAAUGUUUAUAAAUGAAAGUCCCUCAAUUAUUUUAUGCUUGUUACACCCAAGGCACAUAGUAGUAAUUAGGACAUCUGUCCCAGGUCACCAUCCUGGCUGCUAUAGAAAGGGGUUGGUGACAUCCUUGAGCCUUGGUGCAUAGGCCCUGGAGGCUUGUGGGUCUUGCCUGGGCCAACACAGUCUGCAUGGCAUCUACCACACUCUGACCCUGCUUGGUGGCCAAUCAGCUUCCUCCUUUUUAAGGCAACACUCUCGUAGGCUAGUGUUUAUUCCUAGUAACCUCCUUUGUUCUUUUUUUUAGGACUGCAGGAAUACGUGGAGGCUGUCUCUUUUCAACACUUCAUCAAAACUCGUUCAUUGAUCAGUAUGGAAGAGAUUAACAAGCAGUUGACAUUUACAGCAGAAGACAGUGGGAAAGAGAGCAAGACUGUGAGAAUUUAAAAUCAUGUUUCCGUUGUUUUGUAUGAUUUAUACAGCAGCAUAAUGAUUGGUGGAGGCUCUGCCUUCCGGAAGCUGGGUGUGCUAGGUCUCCCCAGGGACGCUAGGUCUAAGUGUCUCCACUGGUGACAGAGAGGAAGUCAGCACACUGCAUCUGAGGGUUUAGAACUUGGUCUGUGCACUUGGUAUCCCCAGUGCUGCUUGGGGUACAGGGAGGAGCCCUGGGCGUGUCUGUCUACCUCAAAGGACUUGAUGGAAGAGUUUGACUUAGAAAGGUUUUUAAUGAAGCAGUGCUUGCUUAACUGAGUUCAGUGUUAAAGUGGCUGUCACAUGGCGAGAGCCAGUUUAUCACUUACACAGCGUGCUUACAGACAGCUGCCCAGCUCUUCUGAAUUGAGGAGAGAAACCCCAUUGCAUUUUGGCUUUUAAGAAGUACUUCUUUCCCCUUUUGGAUUUGAAAAUAUGACAUUCAGAGAACUAGGUGGGCUUUUGAUCCCUUCUCUGACAUAUAUUAGGAUAAAUACUAUUUUUCAAUUUUCUCCUUUUAUUAAUUUUUGAAAAUAUGAAUUGGGGUCAGGAUAGGCAGACAGAGAAACUGUUAGAAGUCAAGAUGACACGAAUGUGAAAUAAAAUGUUAGAUUUGCCAAAAAGCUUGACUUGGCAUGACAGGAAACCCUCCUCUAGUGUGUCUAUGUCUGCCCGGCUUUUGCCUUGUUCUCCACUUUGUCAGGGGCCAACUGAGACACAGGCAAUCAUGGCUUUGGCCCACUUACCUGGUCACAGUGGAAUCACAGAAGUGGCCAGCUGCGCCCUGCUGCAUGCAAGCAGCUCCCCUCGAGUUCAUGGAGAGAGACAGUGGGGAGAAAGCAGGUUGAGUGUUUGCUGUCUCAGGACGUUGGAGAUUACGACCCAGAUGCACCCCUCACAUAAGCUGAGCCUGUGCUCACCCCUCACAUAAGCUGAGCCUGUGUUCACCCCUCACAUAAGCUGAGCCUGUGUUCACCCCUCACAUAAGCUGAGCCUGUGCUCACCCCUCACAUAAGCUGAGCCUGUGCUCACCCCUCACAUAAGCUGAGCCUGUGUUCACAAAGAACUCCCCUUUAGCACUAGGUUCUUAGUGCUGAAAAUACUGAGAAUUUGAUAAAGAAAUUUUCCUUUUAACUUGGCUUGUGAGAAUAUUGCCAAAAUCAUUUUAAUAAACACUGUGCCAAUUUCAGCCAUAGGAAAGUAGAGGGGCUGAUACCUGGUGACACAUUAGCUUGUGUGCCAGGACUUGGAUAGCGUUCCUUGUGAGAGCACAUUAAUGUGUCACCCUCCUAAACACGCAAGUGGCCAUCUCAAAAUUUAUACUCUAAGCAAUUGUUUAGCCGGGCCUGGUGGCGCACGCCUUUAAUCCCAGCACUCGGGAGGCAGAGGCAGGCGGAUUUCUGAGUUUGAGGCCAGCCUGGUCUACAAAGUGAAUUCCAAGUCAGCCAGGGCUACACAGAGAAACCCUGUCUCGGAAAAAAAAAACAACC